Non-coding RNA from Vanrija pseudolonga, 72 nucleotides. NCBI's taxonomy places the organism in Eukaryota, Fungi, Basidiomycota, Tremellomycetes, Trichosporonales, Trichosporonaceae. The record is from the annotation of a RefSeq genome assembly.
ACGCCAAUGUGGUAGUGGCUAUCCUCUGAGUUUCCCAUACUUAGGACGGGGGUUCGAUUCCCCCUUGGCGUA